UACGUAGGGUGCAAGCGUUGUCCGGAAUUAUUGGGCGUAAAGAGCUCGUAGGCGGUCUGUCGCGUCUGCUGUGAAAACUCAGGGCUUAACCCUGAGCUUGCAGUGGGUACGGGCAGGCUGGAGUUCGGUAGGGGAGACUGGAAUUCCUGGUGUAGCGGUGAAAUGCGCAGAUAUCAGGAGGAACACCGGUGGCGAAGGCGGGUCUCUGGGCCGAUACUGACGCUGAGGAGCGAAAGCGUGGGGAGCGAACAGG
RNAcentral lists this ribosomal RNA (253 nucleotides) under uncultured bacterium. RNAcentral describes it as "partial 16S ribosomal RNA". It matches the Rfam family "Bacterial small subunit ribosomal RNA", at positions 524 to 776 of the family's 1533-position model. The record is from RNAcentral.